AACGCAUAUUGCGCUCGAGGCUUCGGCCGAGAGCAUGUCUGCCUCAGCGUCGGGUUAAUAUCAUCCCACUAUCACUAUAUGUGAUAGCUUAGGAUGGACCUGGCCAUUCCAGAGCUGUACUCUCGUAUAGACCUGGAUUGGCUGAAGAGCAGAGACGACUCGGGACCCGUUAAGGGCCGCAAUUGGGUAGGCGCUGCCUCUCCUUAACCAGAGAGCUUUGUCAAUGCUUAAUUGCUGGCUUGGGCACUGCGGCCGUCCACACUCAGGAAUAUUAUCCAAUACUAUUACCUCGACCUGAGCUCAGGCAAGAACACCCGCUGAACUUAA
RNAcentral lists this unclassified non-coding RNA (327 nucleotides) under uncultured fungus. RNAcentral's name for it is "partial contains 5.8S ribosomal RNA, internal transcribed spacer 2, and large subunit ribosomal RNA". The record is from RNAcentral. Lineage: Eukaryota; Fungi.